RNAcentral lists this microRNA (21 nucleotides) under Medicago truncatula (barrel medic). RNAcentral describes it as "mtr-miR5555-3p". Lineage: Eukaryota; Viridiplantae; Streptophyta; Magnoliopsida; Fabales; Fabaceae. The record is from miRBase by way of RNAcentral.
AAGUCGUAUUACACUCUUAGA